AAAGCAAAGUAUUUGAAAGAUCAAAUAAUAAAAUUAAAGUUUUAAAAAUUGAAUAGUUAUUUUUACGGAUUAAUUUUAUACAGAUCCCUACAAAUAUAGUGAAUGACAAAUAUAAUCCUAUAAAGUUUAAUUUUUAUAUAUUGUUCCUACAAAAAUCCCGAUGUUAUUAAAUAUGUCCUUGCCGUUAAAAUUUAUUAGAAAAAUUUAGUUAACCAUAGAUUAAAUAUUUAACCCUAAUUAAUUUUUUGACAUUUUUAUCCCUCUUAUAUAUUAUACUGUUAUGACUUUUGGAUAGACAUAUUUGUGAUGACCAAAUUGAAAAAAUAAAUAGUUCUUUAAUUGUUUUCUAAUGAUAACAAAUUAUAAGGACAUAUUUAAAAACAUCGAAACUUUUACAUCGACGAUAUAUGUAUUCACUGUAUUUACAGAGACCUGAAUGGAAUUAAUUUUAUUUUUAAAUAAUUCAAAUUUAGU
RNAcentral lists this long non-coding RNA (474 nucleotides) under Ananas comosus (pineapple). RNAcentral's name for it is "long non-coding RNA (ACOM_LNC021779)". Lineage: Eukaryota; Viridiplantae; Streptophyta; Magnoliopsida; Poales; Bromeliaceae. The record is from RNAcentral.